RNAcentral lists this ribosomal RNA (705 nucleotides) under uncultured eukaryote. Its description in RNAcentral is "bacterial SSU rRNA". It matches the Rfam family "Archaeal small subunit ribosomal RNA", at positions 455 to 1156 of the family's 1478-position model. The record is from RNAcentral.
GUGCCAAGCAGCCGCGGUAAAACCAGCACCUCAAGUGGUCAGGAUGAUUAUUGGGCCUAAAGCAUCCGUAGCCGGCUCUGUAAGUUUUCGGUUAAAUCUGUACGCUCAACGUACAGGCUGCCGGGAAUACUGCAUAGCUAGGGAGUGGGAGAAGUAGACGGUACUCGGUAGGAAGUGGUAAAAUGCUUUGAUCUAUCGAUGACCACCUGUGGCGAAGGCGGUCUACUAGAACACGUCCGACGGUGAGGGAUGAAAGCUGGGGGAGCAAACCGGAUUAGAUACCCGGGUAGUCCCAGCUGUAAACUAUGCAAACUCAGUGAUGCAUUGGCUUGUGGCCAAUGCAGUGCUGCAGGGAAGCCGUUAAGUUUGCCGCCUGGGAAGUACGUACGCAAGUAUGAAACUUAAAGGAAUUGGCGGGGGAGCACCACAAGGGGUGAAGCCUGCGGUUCAAUUGGAGUCAACGCCAGAAAUCUUACCCGGAGAGACAGCAGAAUGAAGGUCAAGCUGAAGACUUUACCAGACAAGCUGAGAGGUGGUGCAUGGCCGUCGCCAGCUCGUGCCGUGAGAUGUCCUGUUAAGUCAGGUAACGAGCGAGAUUCCUGCCUCUAGUUGCCACCAUUACUCUCAGGAGUAGUGGGGCGAAUUAGCGGGACCGCCGCAGUUAAUGCGGAGGAAGGAAGGGGCCACGGCAGGUCUGUGAUGCCC